CGGCAACAGCUCAAAUUUGAAAUCUGGCCCCUAGGGCCCGAGUUGUAAUUUGCAGAGGAUGCUUUUGGCGAGGUGCCUUCCGAGUUCCCUGGAACGGGACGCCAUAGAGGGUGAGAGCCCCGUCUGGGAUGGGGUGUCCAGGCCUGUGUGAAGCUCCCUCGAC
RNAcentral lists this ribosomal RNA (163 nucleotides) under Clavicipitaceae sp. Its description in RNAcentral is "partial large subunit ribosomal RNA". It matches the Rfam family "Eukaryotic large subunit ribosomal RNA", at positions 99 to 261 of the family's 3401-position model. Lineage: Eukaryota; Fungi; Ascomycota; Sordariomycetes; Hypocreales; Clavicipitaceae. The record is from RNAcentral.